RNAcentral lists this long non-coding RNA (230 nucleotides) under Mytilus galloprovincialis (Mediterranean mussel). Lineage: Eukaryota; Metazoa; Mollusca; Bivalvia; Mytilida; Mytilidae. The record is from RNAcentral.
UAUAGGCAGAAGUUCAGGACAAGUUAUUGUUUGAAGAGGAAUCACAGCAGCAAAGAGUUACAUUUAAAUAGAUGGUCUUAGUACAGCACUGAAUCAUGAGACAAUAAUUCAUAUUUGAUUGUUAUUGCAAAGAGUGGAUGUAUCUGACUAGCAUUUGUAUGACAUUUAUCAUAUGAAGACUUACAAGGCAAAGAAUCAGAUGUUACAAACAAAUGUGUGUGCAUUUAAAG